Molecule: long non-coding RNA, 240 nt
Organism: Aedes aegypti (yellow fever mosquito)
Lineage: Eukaryota; Metazoa; Arthropoda; Insecta; Diptera; Culicidae
Exons: 2
Source: RefSeq, a predicted model, not a curated record
AUUGGACUGGUCCGAGUAUAGCUAGUACAGCUUCAUCUGCCCCCACCUCACCAUUGAUCCCCUAAUUGUCACCGUGAAAUAGUACCAACCCUUUAAACAACCGAGUAUCACCGAGCGAUAUGGAACGUCUUUCGAAGAAGCUGGAUAGUGGUACCUACGCAAAGCUUACAGGUAAUUGUUAAUUCCAUAAUUUCCCUUUUUAAUAAAUUUAAUUACGGUCAUCCGAUCUUUUUUCCGAAA